GCCCAGGUGGUGGAACUGGUAGACACGCGAGACUUAAAAUCUCGUGCCCUCUAAAGGCGUGUGGGUUCGAUUCCCGCCCUGGGCACCA
This 88-nucleotide transfer RNA is filed under the name Candidatus Beckwithbacteria bacterium. Its description in RNAcentral is "tRNA-Leu". It matches the Rfam family "tRNA". From Rfam's summary of the family: Transfer RNA (tRNA) molecules are approximately 80 nucleotides in length. Their secondary structure includes four short double-helical elements and three loops (D, anti-codon, and T loops). Lineage: Bacteria; Candidatus Beckwithiibacteriota. The record is from RNAcentral.